GACGAACGCUGGCGGCGUGCUUAACACAUGCAAGUCGAACGGAAAGGCCCUGCUUUUGUGGGGUGCUCGCGUGGCUAACGUGUGAGUAACACGUGAGUAACCUUCCCUUUACUUUGUGAUAACUUCAGGAAACUGGUGCUAAUACCGGCUAGGAGCUCCUGCUGCAUGGUGGGUUUUGGACCGUUUCGGCGGUUGGGGAUGGACUCGCGGCUUAUCAGCUUGUUGGUGGGGUAGUGGCUUACCAAGGCUUUGACGGGUAGCCGGCCUGAGAGGGUGACCGGCCACAGUGGGACUGAGAUACGGCCCAGACUCCUACGGGAGGCAGCAGUGGGGAAUAUUGCACAAUGGGCGGAAGCCUGAUGCAGCAACGCCGCGUGCGGGAUGAAGGCCUUCGGGUUGUAAACCGCUUUCGCCUGUGACGAAGCGUGAGUGACGGUAAUGGGUAAAGAAGCACCGGCUAACUACGUG
This 468-nucleotide ribosomal RNA is filed under the name uncultured bacterium. Its description in RNAcentral is "partial 16S ribosomal RNA". It matches the Rfam family "Bacterial small subunit ribosomal RNA", at positions 28 to 507 of the family's 1533-position model. The record is from RNAcentral.